Molecule: ribosomal RNA, 405 nt
Filed under: uncultured prokaryote
Description: bacterial SSU rRNA
Rfam family: Bacterial small subunit ribosomal RNA
Source: RNAcentral
UGGGGGAUAUUGCACAAUGGACGAAAGUCUGAUGCAGCAACGCCGCGUGAGGGAAGACGGUCUUCGGAUUGUAAACCUUUAACUUUGGGGAAGAAAAAAAUGACGGUACCCAAAGGGGCAGCCACGGCUAACUACGUGCCAGCAGCCGCGGUAAUACGUAGGUGGCAAGCGUUGUCCGGAAUUACUGGGUGUAAAGGGAGCGCAGGCGGGGAGGCAAGUCAGCUGUGAAAUACACGGGCUUAACCCGUGAAUUGCAGUUGAAACUGCUUUUCUUGAGUGGAGUAGAGGUAGGCGGAAUCCCGAGUGUAGCGGUGAAAUGCGUAGAUAUUCGGAGGAACACCAGUGGCGAAGGCGGCCUACUGGGCUCUAACUGACGCUGAGGCUCGAAAGUGUGGGGAGCAAACA